GCAGAGCACUCCUAUGGGAGGCAGCAGUGGGGAAUAUUGCACAAUGGGCGCAAGCCUGAUGCAGCCAUGCCGCGUGUAUGAAGAAGGCCUUCGGGUUGUAAAGUACUUUCAGCAGUGAGGAAGGUGGAUAUGUUAAUAGCAUAUUCAUUUGACGUUAGCUGCAGAAGAAGCACCGGCUAACUCCGUGCCAGCAGCCGCGGUAAUACGGAGGGUGCGAGCGUUAAUCGGAAUUACUGGGCGUAAAGCGCAUGCAGGUGGUUUGUUAAGUCAGAUGUGAAAGCCCGGGGCUCAACCUCGGAAUUGCAUUUGAAACUGGCAAACUAGAGUACUGUAGAGGGGGUAGAAUUUCAGGUGUAGCGGUGAAAUGCGUAGAGAUCUGAAGGAAUACCGGUGGCGAAGGCGGCCCCCUGGACAGAUACUGACACUCAGAUGCGAAAGCGUGGGGAGCAAACAGGAUUAGAUACCCUGGUAG
RNAcentral lists this ribosomal RNA (472 nucleotides) under uncultured bacterium. RNAcentral describes it as "bacterial SSU rRNA". It matches the Rfam family "Bacterial small subunit ribosomal RNA", at positions 328 to 793 of the family's 1533-position model. The record is from RNAcentral.